CUAGCUUGCAGAAUUCUCACCUGCGUGCCUGUGUGCAGGUCAAGCUGAAGUCUAAGAAGAUCUUAUUGCCACAUGGUGGUUCACAGAUUAACUAAACCUGAACAUCCCUGGCCAUCCUUUUUCCUCACAGGACCUUCCUUGGGAAUAAAAAAAUCUAUUGCAAGGAAGAGACAGGAUUUCCUUACAUGAAAAGCAUAUAAUGUGAAGAUGUAUUGUUGGCACGGCUUUUCUAAAGCUUCUGAAGAAAUGGGCACCAGCCAGGAUGAGGUGGUGGGCUCCCAAUGGCCCGCGAGAUGCUGGCUCAAUCUGGAAUCCAGUUUCACCUUCUGCUGUGGUUACAUUUCUACCCUGUGAACAUCUCUCUUCUGAGUUUUGUAGCUGGUGAUUAACAGAGUCCAUUGCCUACUGGACAGCACAUAACAAGCACACUUGACAUCAACACCUGGCUGUGUCCAGAAAUGCUUGUCUUUCACAGGAAAUGAAGAGCGAUGAGGUUCUGAGUCUGGAAGUCAGGGGUGGGUUCCAGAGGUCUGCGUUUCUGACAAGCUCACAGUUCGCGGUGACGAUGUUGACCCGCCGGGCCGGUGCUUGGAGUAUCCGGUCUCGGAACACCGAUGUCAGCGUGACGACAGUUGCUCCCAAGCUUGGUGAAACUUGAACUUACUGGUCACUCACCUCUUGAAGAACCUACUGAGAAGAGCGUUCACAGAGCAACUCGAUGGGAGAAAUUAAGCUUUUUCGUAACUUGCGUAAACACGAGCUGUGGGCAGCAGGGGCGCCACCAAGCUGAGGCGUCAGCGGAGUAAAACGUCCCAGCUGCUGCGAGACCCUGAGCCACGUCCUGAAAGGGUGACAGUGACUCAGCUCACUGCCGGGGCAGCGACGGUCCCGGCAGCGUUCUUCGUCAGCCGUCAGCUCUGCGGCUGCCUUGCUUUGCCUGGUGGGCGACCAUCAUCUGGCUGCCUGCCAGCUCCCGGGAGAUACCCCGUCUCUCUGAUCACCCUUCCCACUCCCGCAGCUAAAUGACUAGCUGCCUCCCAUAAGGGCUCCCCUUCCACUCCUAGGUGUGGAAUGACCUGGCCCGGCCCUGCUGGCUCUCUCCAAGCAUCUCCUGACCUCUGGCCCGCUUCUCCGCUCAGGUGCCAGCCAGCCAAGGGCAGAUGAGCUGAGUGCGCCCCCUGCUGCUUCACCUUGUUACCUGCAGCGCUGGCUCUGCUUCCCCAGCCACCCCUCGGGGGGUGGGGGUUGCAAAGCUGCAGAAUCCGACCCUGACAAAGACGCAGCGUGGGUCAGCUUUCCAAGCAGCUACCCUGCUCUAACCUCCAACAUCACACCUGAAAGCUAGCCCAGGACCUCCCCGCAGACAGCCUCUUUGCCUUUAUCAGGUCUGGUCUGGAAAGGAAGUUGGGGUCCAGUGGGUUGGGAGGAAGGACUGGGAUUUUUCCUGGGAUGGGCUUCGUGCUCUGGGGGAGCGUGGGGUCGCCAGGUGCAAGCGGUACUGAGCCUUUCCUCCGCAGGAGAGAAAGGGGUCAGAGACAAAGCAGGGUCAGAACAAAGCCCGUCUCGAAUUUCAGACGACUUGCUAAGGAGAUCUGAGGCUCCCAGGGGCAGCAUGCUUUGCAUAUAGACAACUUGCAAAUGAGCAGUCUGUUUGACUAGACAGGGUGCUACAGUUCUGGUUAAAAAAAAAUGUGCCAAUGCAUUUCUAAUUUUCACAUUGUUUUUACAUAAAUUUGCACAUUCGACUCAUGAGGCCUUAUAUUCAAGUAUCAGAGUGAUUCACAACUAAUUAAUACCCUUCACUUCAGCUGCAUUCAAAUUCGGGCAUCAGACCAGGAUGAAUAGAAAAAUAUCUAAAUAUGUAAAAAUCAUUCUUUUUAAUUACAACACGGAAUCGGGGGACAGAGGCACACCUGAGUGCGCUGUUGGGAGGUUGGGCUUGAGUUCCAUUGUCAUCUUUCUCAGUCGUUUCUGCUCAGUUUCUUCACGCCCUGGGCUCAGUACGGUCUUCAAGAAACCAGCAGCGGAUUUUGGUUCCUGGCCUCCUGUGGGGGAGAAACAGAGGUCAAUCGGACUGCUCAGGCUCUCCUUUGGUUCUGGUGUAUCGCUUUGGAGAAAUGAGAGUUUAAUAGCUUUUCAAGGUGUUUGCUCUGAAGUUCAGAUGGUAAAAGAUGAGCUUUCUGUUUCCUAUUGUGUUUCAUCAGGAAGGGCUCUGUUCACAUCAACGGUCUUUCUGGACCCGAGAGAUUCUUUGAACAGUUCCCUCCGACUGCAAUGUUCUCUCUCUCCUCUUUCCCAUCCUUUCCUAUGGACUGAGCUUUUAUAGAAACUGAAAGUUCCACCAUUGGAUUUAUUAUUUGGAGUCUCCACUGACCCUCUUUGAGGCAAAAAUACCCUGAGGAGAAUAGUCCACGAACCAUUAGCUGUCCAGGCAUCCGAGUGGCAUUAAAGGAGAAAGGCAGUGAAGUGUUGGAGAGAGGAAAGUAGCAUGAAGGGCUGAGAAUUUACUGAGUGUGAAAAGCACUGGACUUGGAAUCAGAAGCUCUGAGUUCUAGGUCUACUUCUGCUGGAAACACUAGACCAACUGUUAAGGCUUUUAUAAUGAAGAUGAAGCCUUAUUAAAAGUCUGGAGGAUGGUACAACCAGUUUCAAAAAUGGCUAAAGCCAAAUAUACACAGCUCCUAUGACACGGUCAUUCCAUUCCCGGGUAAAGACCUGAACACGCCCAUAAAUGGAGUUCCACGAAAGACAUGAAUAUAUAAUGUUCAUGUAGCCCCAUUCACAAUAGCUCCAAACAGGAAAUGAUCCAAGUGUCCAUCAAAAGUAGAAUGGGCACAUAACGGUGAUCUGUUCACCUAUGUCAUCUGACACACAAAUUAGGCUGAAUGAGCCACCACGGCAGAGUUAAUGUUGAGUGACAGAAGCCAGACACACAAGAACACGUGCAAAAACAGGCAACAGUCCUCUAUGAUGUUAGAGUUCAUGGUGCUAUUACCCUUGGAUGAGGGAAAAAAGAGACCCAUAGGGGUCAGAAGUGUGCCAUACUUCAAUGGAGAGUUAAAAAUAACAACACUUCUAGUAAAAACAGAGUAGGGGAUGAUCUAUGUCCUGCCGUAGAGAAGGCGAGUGACACACGGUAACACUUGACUUGAGAUGACAUCAUGGAAGAAUAAAGCAGGAGGUAGAAGUUGGGGCUCGGGGCAGGUAGGGACUAGGAGGGGGGUAGGGACUAGGAGGUAGGUAGGGAGACAGACGUUUCUCCUUCACCAUCUAACAACGGUUGGUUCUGUUAACCAUCCAAUGGUUACUAACUAACCAUGGCUUCGUAAUUUUGUGAUCAAUUUAACAUUUCCCAAAUGUCUAAAAACAUUAAUCUUUGUGGACCUUUCAUAAAGUACUUUUGGGUUAAUCAGUCCUAGAGAAACCUCCAAGCCAAUCCUCUUCAGAAGGCAAUGCUGGUGUUCUUUUCACUUCCUUAGUGACCCAUAAUCUUAACGUGGAAAAUCAACUUGUGUAUUUUGCUAGUAUCUCCUAUUGUCGUUCGUGAACUUGAUAAAGACUUCCUCACUUCCAUUUAAAAAAUUUUUUUAAAUUUUAUUUA
Molecule: long non-coding RNA, 3601 nt
Organism: Camelus dromedarius (Arabian camel)
Lineage: Eukaryota; Metazoa; Chordata; Mammalia; Artiodactyla; Camelidae
Exons: 2
Source: RefSeq, a predicted model, not a curated record